UGAUGGAAAAAUCCACACUGCAGGUUGGAAAACUACAGGCUGGAAAACUCUCCAUUUAACUUAACCUCUGCUUAGCCCUUUUUUUCAUGAACAAGCUAUGUAAUGCUAACAAAUUGGGAAUAAAAAGAGGAAGGAUUCUGGGCUUGGUGGAUGCUUGAACACUUGGACACCUCUCGAGUUCCCCUGCAGACAGAAGGCUGGCCACUGGAUGUCUACAGUUAUCCACUCGAGACCUCUUCAAAACCCUGGUGACAACCAGCAGGAAAAGUGAAGAAAAGGAAUCUGAAGAGAAAUAGGGAAGAAAGAGUUAUGGUGAAGAGCCUUGAAGAUAGCCUCUCAGUGCUAGGAUCCAUAACCAUCUGCACUAGCAGUCCCAGGAUUUCAGCUGUUAAAGAUUCCUUUGACAAGAACCCAGCAAUGUUACCCAGUAAUAGGAAAUCAGAAGCAAUUCAAUGGUGCAGAAUUUAGUAUAAUAUUCUUCCUCUUUUCCUUCUUUUUUUUGCAUAUUAAGUAACUUUGCUCUAGAUGUAAGAAAUGAAAUUUGACUACUUGUGAGUCCCCAAAAGCUGCUACUUUGUGACUGAUUUUAGUAAUAACAUUAUCAUCCAGGUGAACAGUGUUCUCGCUUUUACAAAGCUGCAUGAAUUUAGUGUUCUUAAAAAUAAGAAAAUAACAGGGACUUGUGUCAGGUGUAAUUCAGUUCAUUGUUAUAUAAGAUUCUUCACACACUUCUGUCAAUGCACCUCAAUCCUGAUAUUUUGCUCAAACAUUUUCAGCUCUCAUAUUUA
Molecule: long non-coding RNA, 788 nt
Organism: Terrapene triunguis (Three-toed box turtle)
Lineage: Eukaryota; Metazoa; Chordata; Testudines; Emydidae
Exons: 3
Source: RefSeq, a predicted model, not a curated record